GCUGCUGUUGAAGUAAGCAACGAAUAUCCUAUCGAACAACUCAAAAGAAUGGAUGAGCUUGGUUGAAGUUUGGUGUACUAUAUCGGGGCUAUCUUCUGAAGGGUCACUAGAUAGUCUUUGCACAUCAUUGAGUCGAUAGCUCUCUAGAGCAUCACAAGAGCUUUGAAGCUCUCCAAGUGACCCAAGGGAUUGGUGAUGCUAUCAUAGGUCUCAAACUAUGCUA
RNAcentral lists this long non-coding RNA (223 nucleotides) under Elaeis guineensis (African oil palm). Its description in RNAcentral is "long non-coding RNA (EGUI_LNC063302)". Lineage: Eukaryota; Viridiplantae; Streptophyta; Magnoliopsida; Arecales; Arecaceae. The record is from RNAcentral.